Phrynosoma platyrhinos (Desert horned lizard) is the source of this 71-nucleotide non-coding RNA. The record is from the annotation of a GenBank genome assembly. Lineage: Eukaryota; Metazoa; Chordata; Lepidosauria; Squamata; Phrynosomatidae.
ACCAGUGUGGUGUAGUGGUUUGAGUGUUGGACUGCAAUUCUAGAGACCAGGGUUUGAUUCCCAGCCUGGCC